This 453-nucleotide ribosomal RNA is filed under the name uncultured Shewanellaceae bacterium. Its description in RNAcentral is "bacterial SSU rRNA". It matches the Rfam family "Bacterial small subunit ribosomal RNA", at positions 1074 to 1532 of the family's 1533-position model. Lineage: Bacteria; Pseudomonadati; Pseudomonadota; Gammaproteobacteria; Alteromonadales; Shewanellaceae. The record is from RNAcentral.
GUGGGUAGUCCGCACGAGCGCACCCCUAUCCUUAUUUGCCAGCACGUAAUGGUGGGAACUCUAGGGAGACUGCCGGUGAUAAACCGGAGGAAGGUGGGGACGACGUCAAGUCAUCAUGGCCCUUACGAGUAGGGCUACACACGUGCUACAAUGGCGUAUACAGAGGGUUGCAAAGCCGCGAGGUGGAGCUAAUCUCACAAAGUACGUCGUAGUCCGGAUCGGAGUCUGCAACUCGACUCCGUGAAGUCGGAAUCGCUAGUAAUCGUGGAUCAGAAUGCCACGGUGAAUACGUUCCCGGGCCUUGUACACACCGCCCGUCACACCAUGGGAGUGGGCUGCAAAAGAAGUGGGUAGUUUAACCUUCGGGAGAACGCUCACCACUUUGUGGUUCAUGACUGGGGUGAAGUCGUAACAAGGUAGCCCUAGGGGAACCUGGGGCUGGAUCACCUCCUU